AGGUAAGCUACUAAGAGCGAAUGGUGGAUGCCUUGACUGGUAAAGGCGAUGAAGGACGUACUAGACUGCGAUAAGCUACGGGGAGCUGUCAAGAAGCUUUGAUCCGUAGAUUUCCGAAUGGGGCAACCCAAUGUAUAGAGAUAUACAUUACCUAUAUAGGAGCGAACGAGGGGAAUUGAAACAUCUUAGUACCCUCAGGAAAAGAAAUCAAUAGAGAUUGCGUCAGUAGCGGCGAGCGAAAGCGCAAGAGGGCAAACCCAGUGCUUGCACUGGGGGUUGUAGGACUGCAAUGUGCAAGAGGUAAGUUUAGCAGAACAUUCUGGAAAGUAUAACCAUAGAGGGUGAUAGUCCCGUAUGCGAAAAACAAACCUUAGCUAGCAGUAUCCUGAGUAGGGCGGGACACGAGGAAUCCUGUCUGAAUCUGGGUCGACCACGAUCCAACCCUAAAUACUAAUACCAGAUCGAUAGUGCACAAGUACCGUGAGGGAAAGGUGAAAAGAACUGAGGUGAUCAGAGUGAAAUAGAACCUGAAACCAUUUGCUUACAAUCAUUCAGAGCCCUAUGUAGCAAUACAGGGUGAUGGACUGCCUUUUGCAUAAUGAGCCUGCGAGUUGUGGUGUCUGGCAAGGUUAAGCAAACGCGAAGCCGUAGCGAAAGCGAGUCUGAAUAGGGCGCUUAGUCAGAUGCUGCAGACCCGAAACGAAGUGAUCUAUCCAUGAGCAAGUUGAAGCUAGUGUAAGAACUAGUGGAGGACUGAACCCAUAGGCGUUGAAAAGCCCCGGGAUGACUUGUGGAUAGGGGUGAAAGGCCAAUCAAACUUCGUGAUAGCUGGUUCUCUCCGAAAUAUAUUUAGGUAUAGCGUUGUGUCGUAAUAUAAGGGGGUAGAGCACUGAAUGGGCUAGGGCAUACACCAAUGUACCAAACCCUAUCAAACUCCGAAUACCUUAUAUGUAAUCACAGCAGUCAGGCGGCGAGUGAUAAAAUCCGUCGUCAAGAGGGAAACAACCCAGACUACCAGCUAAGGUCCCUAAAUCUUACUUAAGUGGAAAACGAUGUGAAGUUACUUAAACAACCAGGAGGUUGGCUUAGAAGCAGCCAUCCUUUAAAGAAAGCGUAAUAGCUCACUGGUCUAGUGAUUUUGCGCGGAAAAUAUAACGGGGCUAAAGUAAGUACCGAAGCUGUAGACUUAGUUUACUAAGUGGUAGGAGAGCGUUCUAUUUGCGUCGAAGGUAUACCGGUAAGGAGUGCUGGAGCGAAUAGAAGUGAGCAUGCAGGCAUGAGUAGCGAUAAUUAAUGUGAGAAUCAUUAACGCCGUAAACCCAAGGUUUCCUACGCGAUGCUCGUCAUCGUAGGGUUAGUCGGGUCCUAAGUCGAGUCCGAAAGGGGUAGACGAUGGCAAAUUGGUUAAUAUUCCAAUACCAACAUUAGUGUGCGAUGGAAGGACGCUUAGGGCUAAGGGGGCUAGCGGA
This 1469-nucleotide ribosomal RNA is filed under the name Campylobacter jejuni. Its description in RNAcentral is "partial 23S ribosomal RNA". It matches the Rfam family "Bacterial large subunit ribosomal RNA", at positions 1 to 1498 of the family's 2925-position model. The record is from RNAcentral. Lineage: Bacteria; Pseudomonadati; Campylobacterota; Epsilonproteobacteria; Campylobacterales; Campylobacteraceae.